CGGGGAACUUUUGGGACUAUUUUUUCAAACUUAUAAGAUGAAGCUAUUAUAAGAGAAAAAGAAAUAGGUCACUUGUAGACUUGCCACUCAUAAGGGGGUUCGUAAUUGCAGCCAUUGUUGCUCAAUGCUCAAAUUUUAAGGUUAUCUAAACAUUCAGCAGCGUGUGCAUCCCAUAGUCGAACUUUGUAUAUAAACUUCUACUUGAAGAACUUCACGAUGGAGUGAAUGGAAUUUAACCAGCAGAAGACCAAGCAACAAUGACACAUUAAAU
RNAcentral lists this long non-coding RNA (271 nucleotides) under Olea europaea (common olive). RNAcentral's name for it is "long non-coding RNA (OEUR_LNC005722)". The record is from RNAcentral. Lineage: Eukaryota; Viridiplantae; Streptophyta; Magnoliopsida; Lamiales; Oleaceae.